CGUGUAGGCGGGUAUAUAAGUCAGAAGUGAAAUCCUAUAGCUUAACUAUAGAACUGCUUUUGAAACUGUAUACCUAGAAUGUGGGAGAGGUAGAUGGAAUUUCUGGUGUAGGGGUAAAAUCCGUAGAGAUCAGAAGGAAUACCGAUUGCGAAGGCGAUCUACUGGAACAUUAUUGACGCUGAGACGCGAAAGCGUGGGGAAGCAAACAG
This 209-nucleotide ribosomal RNA is filed under the name uncultured bacterium. RNAcentral's name for it is "partial 16S ribosomal RNA". It matches the Rfam family "Bacterial small subunit ribosomal RNA", at positions 568 to 775 of the family's 1533-position model. The record is from RNAcentral.